GACGAACGCUGGCGGCGUGCUUAACACAUGCAAGUCGAGCGGAAAGGCCUCUUCGGGGGUACUCGAGCGGCGAACGGGUGAGUAACACGUGAGUAACCUGCCUCUGGCUUUGGGAUAACCCUCGGAAACGGGGGCUAAUACCGAAUAUUCAGUUCCUGCGGCAUCGUGGGGGUUGGAAAGUUUUUCGGCUAGGGAUGGGCUCGCGGCCUAUCAGCUUGUUGGUGGGGUAAUGGCCUACCAAGGCUUCGACGGGUAGCCGGCCUGAGAGGCGACCGGCCACACUGGGACUGAGACACGGCCCAGACUCCUACGGGAGGCAGCAGUGGGGAAUAUUGCACAAUGGGCGGAAGCCUGAUGCAGCGACGCCGCGUGAGGGAUGACGGCC
Molecule: ribosomal RNA, 385 nt
Filed under: uncultured bacterium
Lineage: Bacteria
Description: bacterial SSU rRNA
Rfam family: Bacterial small subunit ribosomal RNA
Source: RNAcentral